RNAcentral lists this ribosomal RNA (642 nucleotides) under Bacillus sp. (in: firmicutes). Its description in RNAcentral is "bacterial SSU rRNA". It matches the Rfam family "Bacterial small subunit ribosomal RNA", at positions 37 to 662 of the family's 1533-position model. Lineage: Bacteria; Bacillati; Bacillota; Bacilli; Caryophanales; Bacillaceae. The record is from RNAcentral.
UGGCGGCAGCUAAUACAUGACAAGUCGAGCGGACGGAUGGGAGCUUGCUCCCCUGAAGUCAGCGGCGGACGGGUGAGUAACACGUGGGCAACCUGCCUGUAAGACUGGGAUAACUUCGGGAAACCGGAGCUAAUACCGGAUAAUGCAUUUCCCCUCAUGGGGAUAUGCUGAAAGAUGGUUUCGGCUAUCACUUACAGAUGGGCCCGCGGCGCAUUAGCUAGUUGGUGAGGUAACGGCUCACCAAGGCAACGAUGCGUAGCCGACCUGAGAGGGUGAUCGGCCACACUGGGACUGAGACACGGCCCAGACUCCUACGGGAGGCAGCAGUAGGGAAUCUUCCGCAAUGGACGAAAGUCUGACGGAGCAACGCCGCGUGAGUGAUGAAGGUUUUCGGAUCGUAAAACUCUGUUGUCAGGGAAGAACAAGUGCCGGAGUAACUGCCGGCACCUUGACGGUACCUGACCAGAAAGCCACGGCUAACUACGUGCCAGCAGCCGCGGUAAUACGUAGGUGGCAAGCGUUGUCCGGAAUUAUUGGGCGUAAAGCGCGCGCAGGCGGUCUCUUAAGUCUGAUGUGAAAGCCCACGGCUCACCCGUGGAGGGUCAUUGGAAACUGGGGGACUUGAGUGCAGAAGAGGAAAGU